RNAcentral lists this ribosomal RNA (506 nucleotides) under uncultured bacterium. Its description in RNAcentral is "partial 16S ribosomal RNA". It matches the Rfam family "Bacterial small subunit ribosomal RNA", at positions 29 to 523 of the family's 1533-position model. The record is from RNAcentral.
AGUGAACGCUGGCGGUAGGCCUAACACAUGCAAGUCGAACAGCAGCACAGGAGAGCUUGCUCUCUGGGUGGCGAGUGGCGGACGGGUGAGGAAUACAUCGGAAUCUACUCUGUCGUGGGGGAUAACGUAGGGAAACUUACGCUAAUACCGCAUACGACCUACGGGUGAAAGCAGGGGACCUUCGGGCCUUGCGCGAUUGAAUGAGCCGAUGUCGGAUUAGCUAGUUGGCGGGGUAAAGGCCCACCAAGGCGACGAUCCGUAGCUGGUCUGAGAGGAUGAUCAGCCACACUGGAACUGAGACACGGUCCAGACUCCUACGGGAGGCAGCAGUGGGGAAUAUUGGACAAUGGGCGCAAGCCUGAUCCAGUCAUACCGCGUGGGUGAAGAAGGCCUUCGGGUUGUAAAGCCCUUUUGUUGGGAAAGAAAUCCAGCUGGCUAAUACCCGGUUGGGAUGACGGUACCCAAAGAAUAAGCACCGGCUAACUUCGUGCCAGCAGCCGCAGUAA